Molecule: ribosomal RNA, 262 nt
Filed under: uncultured bacterium
Lineage: Bacteria
Description: partial 16S ribosomal RNA
Rfam family: Bacterial small subunit ribosomal RNA
Source: RNAcentral
ACCGGCGCACGGGUGAGUAACACGUAUGCGACCUGCCCCCGCAGGGGGAUAACCGGGAGAAAUCCCGACUAAUACCGCGUAACGCCGCGGACCUGCAUGGGUCUGCGGCCAAAGGAAGCGAUUCCGGCGGGGAUGGGCAUGCGGCGCAUUAGCUAGUCGGCGGGGUAACGGCCCACCGAGGCGACGAUGCGUAGGGGUUCUGAGAGGAAGGUCCCCCACACUGGUACUGAGACACGGACCAGACUCCUACGGAAGGCAGCAG